This 533-nucleotide ribosomal RNA is filed under the name uncultured marine group I thaumarchaeote. RNAcentral describes it as "bacterial SSU rRNA". It matches the Rfam family "Archaeal small subunit ribosomal RNA", at positions 1 to 540 of the family's 1478-position model. The record is from RNAcentral. Lineage: Archaea; Thermoproteati; Nitrososphaerota.
UUCUGGUUGAUCCUGCCGGACCUGACUGCUAUCGGAUUGAUACUAAGCCAUGCGAGUCAUUGUAGCAAUACAAGGCAUACGGCUCAGUAACGCGUAGUCAACCUAACCUAUGGACGGGAAUAACCUCGGGAAACUGAGAAUAAUGCCCGAUAGAACAUUAUACCUGGAAUGGUUUAUGUUCCAAAUGAUUUAUCGCCAUAGGAUGGGACUGCGGCCUAUCAGUUUGUUGGUGAGGUAAUGGCCCACCAAGACUAUUACAGGUACGGGCUCUGAGAGGAGUAGCCCGGAGAUGGGUACUGAGACACGGACCCAGGCCCUAUGGGGCGCAGCAGGCGAGAAAACUUUGCAAUGUGCGAAAGCACGACAAGGUUAAUCCGAGUGAUUUCUGCUAAAGAAAUCUUUUGUUAGUCCUAGAAACACUAACGAAUAAGGGGUGGGCAAGUUCUGGUGUCAGCCGCCGCGGUAAAACCAGCACCUCAAGUGGUCAGGAGGAUUAUUGGGCCUAAAGCAUCCGUAGCCGGCUCUGUAAGUUU